Long non-coding RNA from Amborella trichopoda, 1180 nucleotides. RefSeq lists it as uncharacterized. The record is from RefSeq and is a predicted model, not a curated record. Lineage: Eukaryota; Viridiplantae; Streptophyta; Magnoliopsida; Amborellales; Amborellaceae.
UCUCUCUCUCUCACUAUAACCAACCAGGAACCCACUCUCUCUAAAGCCGAGGCAUGCUCCCCUACCUCUCUCUCUAAUGGUGGCACGAAUAGUAAUCAACCCAUUCUCUUUGAAACUAGGGCACAUGGAAAGCUAUUCUAUUUCUUCGAAACCAAAGAUACUCUUUUUCUCCCUCUUUUAUUUGUAACAGAGCCAAUACUUCUCCCACUUGUCGUUCUUUCUCACUCCCUGCAAUCAUUCAUCUCCUCUCUCUAUCUCCAUUCUCACUCUCUUUCUGAAACCUUGGACCCCUUUUCUUCCACUCUGUCUCUGUCUCCUUUCAUAGCCUUUGGCCAUAUCUCCACAAGAUAAAUUUUCAAAACCUUGCCCCACCAUUGACUUCUCCAAAUCUCUCCUUGCCUCCAAUCAAACCCCCAAAUUUCUCCUUCUAAAAUCCCAAAAUAUCUCACAGAAAACCCCAAAUCUCUUCCUCCUUUGAUAUCUAGAAACCCACAAGAACCCUAAUCUCUUCCUCCUUUGAUAUCUAGAAACCCACAAGAACCCUAAAGCAUGGAUAAUGAAAACCCUCCCAGAUCUCUAAUAAAAGUCUAGAUUGAAUGGUAGGGAGCUGCAAGUUUAAGAAACUUGAGUUGGGAGUUGCAUAUUCAAGAAGGUUUCUUUGAUUCAGUUUGGGCUACAUUUUUAUGAUGAACCAUGAGAUAGUGGCUUAUGACUCGAUAGAAUCUCCAGUUUACUUUGUUUGAAGUGGUGGCAUUGAGGACUCGAGAAAUUUUUCCAUUAUUCAUUUUUAGAGGUAGUGGCAUUGAGGACUCAAGGAACUUUGUUGAGGCAGUGUCCACCGGAGAGCAUUAUUUUGUGGUUAUCAAACAUGGCCAAAAGAGGAGGAUCACUUUGGAAGAUAAAAAAUUGAGCAAAAAUAAAUAGCGACAUACGGUCAUGUAGGCAAAAACGAGUAAGAUGACACAUUUUUGCCCCCUUGCACGUAUAUAAUUCUACUUAUUGAUGUGAAGAAGGCGAAAUGCAGGAUAAGUUGGUCAUAUGAAAACUAGUAGAUUCUUGUUUUACUUGUAAAAAUGAUGUAUUACUUGUUGUUUUAGGCCAUGUACCAUUGGCAUUAACGGUAAUGUAAGACUAGUAGAUUCUCAUCAUAUGUUGUAAUGGGAUUUUGAGUUGGGUUUUU